AUCCGAAGGUUAAUAUUUGCUAAGUAUAAGUUAUACUUACAAUUGGUAUAGUAUUGCGUUGGCAAAUAUUAUACCGCUGUGUUUGUUAUUUACUUAGAUAUAAAAUACUGAAUAAAUUUCUAUUUUGUAUUAUUCAUUUACAUAUAGAAUACUGAAUACAAUUCUAUUAUUUACUGUUCCCGUCCAAACGUGAAAUAUUGAACAUUUUUUAAUUACUUUUUUCACCGAUCUAACAGUAUAAAUUAUAUUGUAACUUCCACAAUAUAUUAUAUUUUUUCUUUUACGUUCCAACCGAUAAAUAAAAAUUACGAAUUUUUUUUCCUAUUCUAAUAUAAACAACGAAUUCAAAAUCAUUGAAAUUCUCGAAAAGUAGUUACAUGUCAAUUCGAAAAAUCGACUUUUCUCCCACGUUUAUACGUAUAGUAAUUGCCCCAAAAACGGUCGUGUUACGCUUUCUCCAAAAUAAAUACACCGAGCAGCGUUGCGGUGCGCGUAAUGUACAACAAUAUUUAUACUUCGGUCGUUUCGUAAUUCUCUCUCUUUCUCUCUCUCUCUCUCUCUCUCGUAUUUUGCGUUUUCACAUCAUGCAACAACGGUAAUGAGUACUCCAAAUAAUGUCGCUCGGGAGCACGGGAUGAACUUAUUCCUUUUAUCAAUCUUUGACGAAGAAAUUAGUCUCUUGCUCGUACGUCCUCGUUCGCCAUUCUAUUCCUGCUUCAAUCUCAAUGCGUAUGUAUUUAUAUACGUAUAUGUAUCUGUGUGUAUCUUUCAAUUUGAAAAACGCACAUGGCUGGUAUACUUCGAAUUAGAUUUUAUCGUUCCAAGAAGAAAGAAUAGAAAAGAAUAUGACGAUGUUCAAAGCUCAAAGAAAGAAAUUAAAAAAUUACAAAAAAUAUAUAUACAUAUAUAUAAGAUACGUGUGUGUGUGUGUGAAAGAUCAAAACCACCGAAGAAUGAAAUCGCAAGUAGAGUGGCUCGCGUAUAGGGAUCUUCGAAGAGACACGAGCACCCCUGUCCCUCUUUAACUAAAAUAAGCGGAAGUAAGGAGCGAGGCAACUCUAAAUUUAGAGCCUGGCGUGCGCUCAUCCUUCGUCCGUGUUAUUACGUUCAGCCUUGUCGUUGCAUAUCUACAUUGCCUCUGUUAUAUACGCACACGGCAUAUCUAUGAGAAGAGAAAAAUGAGACCAAUUUUACUCUAAAAUUUUUUAUCUAAAAUAUGCAGUAACGUAUGAUAAUACGAAUGAAAAAGAACACCAAAUUUUGUCCUUUAUGAAUUAAUAGAAAAACAAAAACAAAAAAAGAAAAAAAAAAAAGAGGAAGAAGGAACAAAACGAAAGAUAAAAAAGCAAAACGAAAAUAUUCCAGAUAAAAUACUAACCUACGACGAAGACAAAAUGUUCUACUUUUUCAAAUUCCAAUUUUUCUAACGGAGAGACGUAUAGCUUUUAUUCUGAAAGUUUCAGACGGAUUACAAAAGAGAUAAAUAGAUAAAUAGAUAGAUAGAUAGGUAGAUAGACAUAGAGAAACAGAGAGAGAGAGAGAGAAAGAGAGAGAAAGAGAGAAAGAGAGAGAAAGAGAAAUUGAUUGAAUAUGUACAAGCGCGUAAGAGUUUACGCAUUGACCUGACUGCGUCUGUGAAUAAUGCGUGUGUACGUGCGUGAGGCAGAGACCAGCUGACUGCCAAAACAGCUGUAGCGAUAUACGAUGAUGCAUCGUGGGGUGUUCGCCUCGUUCCGUUUCUCUCCUUCUUCCUCCCACCCUUCUCACCGCACCCUCUCUUUCCCUCUCUCUCUCUCUCUUUCUCUCUUUCUCUCUCUACCUAUAUCCGUCUUUCUCGUCAGUCGAUUGGAGGAGGGUUUUCAGACUGACUGUGAUUUAGCCUCGUAUUUAUGUCUAGUUUCUGGCGUGUUACGCUCUCAGCGAGCCAUUUCGAUUUUCAUCGUAACCGUUUGUUCUCCCACAAAAUAAAGACACUGUAUUAGGAUUAAGUUUUUAAGUUCUCAAUAAGUAGAAAAUGUGAACGUUGCUUAAAUGUCCAGAAUCAAUCGAUCGAGAUAUUUGAAAUGGAUUUGGGCUAUCGUGUUGUGGAAGAGCGUGAGGGGUGGGUGAUGGGGAGAAGAAAAGCAUCAAAGUAUUGCAUCGUUAUGCGCGUAAUGUUUGUCUUGAUAAAUUUUCAUAUGCUCUAGAAAUAUGAAGGAGAGAGAGAGAGAGAGAGAGAGAGAGAGAUAGAGAUAGAGAAAUAGAGAAAGAGAGAGAGAGAGAACACGUUACAUGCUCUUCAUACGUUUAUCGUCUCACAAAUACGUCGCUCGCAAGGAUAUAAAAUUUAACGCUUGCUCCUACAAAGCACGAGCAAAACGUAAAGUACAUUUUCCUCGACCGAUAGCGACCUACACCGAAUGCAUAAAAAUGGUCUAAAAUGUGAUGCAUCAUAUUGGUAGUAAAAAUAAAAAAAAAAUAAAUAAAUAGAAAAGAAAAAGAAAAAGAAAAAGAAUUAAAAAUUGAAAACAAUAGGAAAUAUAUUGAAACUAUAAUCUGUCGACGAAUCGGUUAAUUCACUUAUGAAUUAACGAUAAUUUAAAAUACGAGCUCGAACGUCGUAAGGAAAUUAUUUCACGAGAUGUCGAUAUUAAGGAAAUUAAAAAGAGAAAUAAAUAAAUAAUAAAAGAAAAAAAUAGAAAUCUCAUUUGCGAGAUCAUACGAAAGGUUCGAAUAAAAGUUUAAUACCUCGGUAUAUUACAAACUUGCUAGUUCUUAUCUCGCAAUGAACGAGUCCAACCGUUCUGAUAACGAAUAUAUGUAAGCGACACGCAUAAGACGGUACAAUAUCGAGAGAUUUUACAUGAAUCUCGAGGUCUAAUGUCUCCGAGAAAACGAUAAACCAUGUUUGACCAUCAAGUAUUAUGAGAUUCAUGAAUGUACUAUUGUUAAUUGUUCUGUCACCGCUAGAUUACGAUAGUUAUAUCAACUUAAGGAAAUCCACGUAUUACGCUAACUUUAAUCGUUAAAUUGGACUGUUGAUGAACAAGACAUAAAGGUACUUUCUAAAUCAACGAUUAUCUUUUAACUGAACGUUAUCUUCAGAUUAUAUUUGAUUUCUCUCUCUCUCUCUCUCUCUCUCUCUCUCUUUCUCUUUUAUCGAAAGAUCAGAUAUUCGAAACAUUCGAAUAUUCUCAAAAAGUAAAAUAAAAAUUGGCCUUGUUAAAAACAUUUUCUCAGUUAACGACAAUGUUAAAUAAAUUCUAUUCGAAUAAAUUAAAAAAUUAACUACACUGUUGAAUGUCAAUUAUUGUUUCAUAAUAAUACUAAUUAUUAAUUGGAUUUCAAAUAAAUAAAAUAAAACGAUAACCGAAUAAAGUAAAUAAAAUAAAUCGAUAAACGAAUAAAUAAAAUUUAACGAUCAUAUCGUUAAUGUUUUCUUUUUCUCGAUCGUAAUACGAAUUUACCUUUUAUCUCGAAUUUGUAAUCCUAUCCCUUUCGUUAAGUUUCAAGGGGGAUUAACGAUUUUCUAGUUAAUCCAUUUGGAAAAUAUCUAUUUCCUUUUAGUCGCCCGUAUAUCCUAAUCGAUAGGAGAAAGGAACGUAUCGAAGUCGUUAAAGUGUAUUUGUUGAGAAAAGCAGACGCCAUGCUCGGAUAAAAACUACCAUCAUUGAAAGAUAAAAUGAAACACGCCCAAAAACUGAUAUGAUUGAAUUAUGUGGACAAAUAUAAUCGUCGAACAUUCUGAAUAUGCGUGUUUGCCUUUCUAUGCAAUAGCAUAUUAAUGCAUUAAAUAUUUCAUACAUAUACAGAUAUGUGUAUAUACGGAUACAUAUAUAGAUAUGUGUAUAUACAAAUACAUAUACAGAUAUGUACAAACACAGUUAGAUAUACAGAUGUGUGUACACACACGCGUGCGCGCGCACACACAAUUUCUUUUCAUGUACGUAUCUAAUACAUUAUUAUCGUUGCAUUUCAAUGCUCGCUCAUUUUUACGUUGGUAUUGUUGUACUUUACGAGGCUUACCAAUCGCUAAAAGGUUAAUGAGAUUUUCGCAAUGCGACAAGGCAGAGUUUUAUCCGUUGUUAAAGGAACGAAUAAAAAUAAAAAAUACGUUGGCUUUUGACUGCUUAUUAAGAUUAAUUAUACGACCUCACUUUUUAUGAUUUUUCUUUUUACUCCUUUUUUUGUUUUCUUUUUCCCCUCUGUCUUCCUUUUUCUUUCUUUUUUUCUCAUAAAAAUGUUAAUUGUUGUUGUUAGAUCAGAGAAAUCUAAUCAUCUAACAUAUGUACGUAUUUAAAAAAAAAAAACAAGAACGUAGAUACUUUAAGAUGUUAAUGUUAAAUGAGUUAUCACGGGAUUACCACGACUGUUUAUGCUCACGUUAAUGACUCACCGAUGAUCUGAGAUUUUUCUCGUUGAUUUAAACGACAUCGACGGCUCGCGUACGUACCUGAAAUAAAAGAAAAAAAUUAAAUGAGCUUGUAUAAUGUAGGUAUUCGUGUAUCUCGUUUGGCCCUAUGACACUGAAACAGAUUAACGUAUUAUUAAAUGUAAAACUAUUAUAGUCAGUUUCUACUCCUUAUUAUCCCUAUUAAAGAUUCCCUUAUCGAAAAACUUCCGAAUGUCUUCCACAAAAUGAUUCCAUCUGUUCAACGAACAUUUUCAACGAAUGACACGCAUAAUAUCCAAUAACCGUAUGUUAUCCUUGAAUUUAUGUAACAACCAUUUGACCAUUAUUUGCAAGGCUUCCUUAGUCGUAUCUAUCUAACUUUACGAAGGCUGGCCGAUAGAUCGUUUGUUAUAUAACAAAUUUUCGUGUGACGAGUCGUAGACAGAAUAUAAUUCUUUUUCCUCUUUCUUUUCUUUUCUUCUCUUUUUUUUUCUUUUACUUUUCAUUUAUAUUUCGUUGAAAUAUCUAAAUGUACUUUACCGCUCGAGCUUAUACAAAAUCGAUUCAUUGAACGUAACGCAUACAAAAUGUCCAUAUAUUAUACGUGCAUACGUUAAUUUUCUUUUCGAUAACAAAACGCAGUAAAACGAGGAAUAGUCAUUUCUUCCUUUAAAGAAGCCAUUUCCUUUUACAUAACGUAUUAGCAAAAGGUAGGUAAAGCGACAAAAGCAUCAGUAGCAGUAGCCAACAGCAGCAAUAGCAACAGCAACAGCAACAGCAACAGCAACAGCAGUAACAGUAGCAGUAGGAGCAGCAAUAAUAGCACGUUUUGUGGAAGUAACAAUACGAACUUGCAUGGUCGAGCUCGACGCUAAUUUCUCUGGAGACGCACAAACUUUUGUUCCGCCCCGGAGGGUGGCCAUUCCUAUGGUCGAUAUGGCCGUGGCGCCGAUAAACGGCCUUAAAGUAGUAACACAGAUGGAGAACCAAAGAAAAAGAGAAAACUAGAGAGAGAGAGAGAGAGAGAGAGAGAGAGAGAAAGAUAGGAUGAGAGAAUGAGAGAAAGAGAGAUGAAAAGUAGGAAUCGAAGCAAAGAGGGUCAAUGCACUCGAGCUGCGAUGCUGGAUCCACCCCUAGGCACGCGCAAAUGACGUUGUUGAUGGAUCUGGUCUAUGAAAGGAAGGACGCAAAGUUAUAGAGAGAGAGAGAGAGAAAGAGAUAGGGAUGGUAAAAGUAGUGGGGAGAGGUUGCACGGGUGGUGAUUGAUGAGCCCUCCGGUCCAACCGAAUCACCCUACGGCGUAGUCUCGAUCGUUUCUUCCUAUCUCUCUCGUUCUCAUACUUUCAUCGAGCUGACCUCGUUCGAAUGAAUCGUCUUCUUAUCUCUUCUGCCAACUUUCUUCCACCUCUUAUAUUUUCUAUUUUCUUUUUUCUUUUUUCUUCUUCGGCCGUAGAAGUACUCCUGCUCGUCGAGAAAACGUAAAAUGUCUUGCAUCGUUUAUGAGUCAGGAGAAGUCUUCUCUCUGCAGACUACUCUUUACAGACUACUUUCGCAUCUUACCGUCUGAUACCAUCUACGAUUUUAUCUCCGCGAUCGUCCUCCUUUAUAUUUUGUUUCUUCGUUGUUCUUCUUCCAUUUCUUCUUUUUUGUUUCUUCCUUAACAUCUCACGAUCCACAGUUUUUCGUCAAUCAUUAAUAUCCUCAUCAAUAUCAAAACCAUCCUGUCGUUCCCGAAGGGGAAAAUGUGUCUCCCUUCGAAAUUCCCCUCUAAAAACAAAAUCAACUUCCAAGAGGUGCAUUUACGAUCGCAGAUUGGAGAUUUAAAGAUUUAGACAAUUUUGUACUCUAGAGAGAAAGAGAGAAGGAGAGAGAGAGAGAGA
This is a long non-coding RNA of Vespula vulgaris, 6252 nucleotides long. RefSeq lists it as uncharacterized. Lineage: Eukaryota; Metazoa; Arthropoda; Insecta; Hymenoptera; Vespidae. The record is from RefSeq and is a predicted model, not a curated record. The transcript has 2 exons.